Molecule: ribosomal RNA, 401 nt
Filed under: Haloferax volcanii
Lineage: Archaea; Methanobacteriati; Methanobacteriota; Halobacteria; Halobacteriales; Haloferacaceae
Description: bacterial SSU rRNA
Rfam family: Archaeal small subunit ribosomal RNA
Source: RNAcentral
GAUCCUGCCGGAGGUCAUUGCUAUUGGGGUCCGAUUUAGCCAUGCUAGUUGCACGAGUUCAUACUCGUGGCGAAAAGCUCAGUAACACGUGGCCAAACUACCCUACAGAGAACGAUAACCUCGGGAAACUGAGGCUAAUAGUUCAUACGGGAGUCAUGCUGGAAUGCCGACUCCCCGAAACGCUCAGGCGCUGUAGGAUGUGGCUGCGGCCGAUUAGGUAGACGGUGGGGUAACGGCCCACCGUGCCGAUAAUCGGUACGGGUUGUGAGAGCAAGAGCCCGGAGACGGAAUCUGAGACAAGAUUCCGGGCCCUACGGGGCGCAGCAGGCGCGAAACCUUUACACUGCACGCAAGUGCGAUAAGGGGACCCCAAGUGCGAGGGCAUAUAGUCCUCGCUUUUC